Molecule: ribosomal RNA, 460 nt
Filed under: uncultured bacterium
Lineage: Bacteria
Description: SSU rRNA
Rfam family: Bacterial small subunit ribosomal RNA
Source: RNAcentral
AGGACGAACGCUGGCGGCGUGCCUAACACAUGCAAGUCGAACGAGAAAGUGGAGCAAUCCAUGAGUACAGUGGCGUACGGGUGAGUAACACGUGACUAACCUACCCUCGAGUGGGGAAUAACCUCGGGAAACCGGGGCUAAUACCGCAUAAUAUCUUCGGAUCAAAUGCGCAAGCAGCUUGAGGAGGGGGUCGCGGCCGAUUAGCUAGUUGGCGGGGUAAUGGCCCACCAAGGCAGUGAUCGGUAGCCGGCCUGAGAGGGCGCACGGCCACACUGGAACUGAAACACGGUCCAGACUCCUACGGGAGGCAGCAGUGGGGAAUUUUGCGCAAUGGGGGAAACCCUGACGCAGCAACGCCGCGUGGAGGAUGAAGCCCCUUGGGGUGUAAACUCCUUUCGAUCGGGACGAUUAUGACGGUACCGGAAGAAGAAGCACCGGCUAACUCUGCGCCAGCAGCCGC